This is a long non-coding RNA of Phyllostomus hastatus (greater spear-nosed bat), 359 nucleotides long. RefSeq lists it as uncharacterized. The transcript has 3 exons. The record is from RefSeq and is a predicted model, not a curated record. Lineage: Eukaryota; Metazoa; Chordata; Mammalia; Chiroptera; Phyllostomidae.
GUGGAAGCAAGAUCAUUUUGGAAUACUAGAAGAAUUAAAGAGGUAAGAGCCUUCAGGGAUAACUUAAAGAGAAGAUAAGGAAGGAUCUCAAUCUGAAGAAACUUACUGCACAGCCUUCUCAGAUGCCAUGCAGUGUAUCGGAAAGUUCCAAGGUAGAAUCCACAAAGCCAGCUAUGAGCCAAUGCCUGACAGGACAUCAGUGCUAAAUUGCCAAACAAUACCAUCACCAACAAAACCCAGCAACUAUGCAUCUGAACAAAAUAAAACAAAUCACAUGGCCAGAAUGACCUUGGUGAAUGGUAACAAUAGCUUACAUCUUAUGGGCUCUCACUGUGUGUCAAGACUGUGCUAAGGGGACU